CCUACGGGUGGCAGCAGUGGGGAAUAUUGGACAAUGGGCGAAAGCCUGAUCCAGCCAUGCCGCGUGUGUGAAGAAGGCCUUCGGGUUGUAAAGCACUUUCAGUGGGGAAGAAAGCCUUGGGGCUAAUACCCUCGAGGAAGGACAUCACCCACAGAAGAAGCACCGGCUAACUCCGUGCCAGCAGCCGCGGUAAUACGGAGGGUGCGAGCGUUAAUCGGAAUUACUGGGCGUAAAGCGCGCGUAGGCGGUCUGAUAAGCCGGUUGUGAAAGCCCCGGGCUCAACCUGGGAACGGCAUCCGGAACUGUCAGGCUAGAGCGCAGGAGAGGAAGGUAGAAUUCCCGGUGUAGCGGUGAAAUGCGGAGAGAUCGGGAGGAAUACCAGUGGCGAAGGCGGCCUUCUGGACUGACACUGACGCUGAGGUGCGAAAGCGUGGGUAGCAAACAGGAUUAGAUACCCGGGUAGUC
This 465-nucleotide ribosomal RNA is filed under the name Vreelandella stevensii. RNAcentral describes it as "partial 16S ribosomal RNA". It matches the Rfam family "Bacterial small subunit ribosomal RNA", at positions 338 to 795 of the family's 1533-position model. Lineage: Bacteria; Pseudomonadati; Pseudomonadota; Gammaproteobacteria; Oceanospirillales; Halomonadaceae. The record is from RNAcentral.